Molecule: long non-coding RNA, 2587 nt
Organism: Phacochoerus africanus (Common warthog)
Lineage: Eukaryota; Metazoa; Chordata; Mammalia; Artiodactyla; Suidae
Exons: 3
Source: RefSeq, a predicted model, not a curated record
CGCAGGCGCAGCAUACCGAGUGGACAUUUUGGUCUUUGUCCGCGGGUCAGUCCGGCCCCUGGGUCCACGUGGCGCGAAAAUAGGAGGUUAUAAGCUGACCAAACUGUAUGUGAGUCUCUGUUGAAGCAGGAAGACGAACUCUGAAUGGUGGAGAAAAAAGUGGAAAUGAAAUUUGUCCAGGUCAUACACAGAGAAGCCCUACAAAUGUAAGAAAUGUGGAAAUACCUUCAGCCAAAAGUAAAUUUUCAUUCAUCAAAAAAUUCAUACUGGAGAGAAACCUUGUGAAUGUGGGAAAGCUUCCAUUCAGAUGUCACACCUCAGUCAGCAGAGAAUUUGUAGUGGGGAAAACCCCUUUGCUUGUAAGGUAUGUGGAAAGGUCUUCAGCCACAAAUCAACUCUCACUGAGCAUGAGCAUUUUCAUAAUAGAGAGAAACCUUUUGAAUGUAAUGAAUGUGGAAAAGCCUUCAGCCAAAAGCAAUAUGUCAUUAAACAUCAGAACACCCAUACUGGAGAGAAGCUUUUUGAAUGUAAUGAAUGUGGAAAAUCCUUCAGCCAGAAAGAAAACCUUCUUACCCAUCAAAAGAUUCAUACUGGAGAGAAACCUUUUGAGUGUAAGGAUUGCGGGAAAGCUUUCAUUCAGAAGUCAAACCUCAUCAGGCACCAGAGAACUCACACAGGAGAGAAGCCGUUUGUAUGUAAGGAGUGUGGGAAAACCUUCAGUGGUAAAUCAAACCUUACUGAACAUGAGAAAAUCCAUAUUGGAGAGAAACCGUUUAAGUGUAGUGAAUGUGGAACAGCUUUUGGUCAGAAGAAGUACCUCAUAAAACAUCAAAAUAUUCACACUGGAGAGAAACCCUAUGAAUGUAAUGAAUGUGGAAAAGCCUUCUCUCAGCGAACAUCACUUAUUGUACAUGUGAGAAUUCAUUCAGGUGAUAAGCCUUAUGAAUGCAAUGUAUGUGGAAAAGCCUUCUCUCAAAGUUCAUCUCUUACUGUACAUGUGAGAAGCCAUACAGGGGAGAAACCCUAUGGUUGUAAUGAAUGUGGGAAAGCUUUCUCUCAAUUCUCAACCCUUGCUCUACAUUUGAGAAUACACACAGGUAAGAAGCCUUAUCAAUGUAGUGAAUGUGGGAAAGCUUUCAGCCAGAAGUCACACCACAUUAGACACCAGAAGAUUCAUACUCAUUAAAAACCUGUGGAUAUCAUGAAAAUUGAAAAGUGUUCAUCAGGAAUUUAUACCUCAGAACACAUCAGAAAUAAUUGUUGUGAAGGAAAGCAUCACAAACAAGGGAAACAAAAGCUAUUAACUUAAAAGGACACCAGAGAAUUCAUCUUGAAGAAAAAGACAUUUGUUUGAUAAAAAUCCUAUAUCCAACAGAAAACAAACAGCAAAGGUAAUACUGAAACUUACAGUGCAUUUCCACUAAAAUUGGGAGUGGAAAACAUGCUUACCAUUGCUAUCUGCGUAGAUCUGGAGAUGUUCACCAAUGUAAAAAAAAAAAAAUUGUAAGUAUUAGGAAGAGACCUACGAUAUCAAUUUAGCAGAACAGAAGAGAUUCUGGAAACACCUAUGCAUUUAUUAGAAUUUAUAAUAUAAUAGAAAUGGCAUCAGGAGAAGAUAAUGGAACUAUUUACAAAAUGAUUUGGAGAUAAUUUUUUCUCCGAGAAAAAAAAUAAUAGACAGUGAACUAUACACAAAGAUAAGAUCCAAGAGGAUUAAAAACAGGAAUAUGGAAAAGCUGUAUACUAAAAUGGUUAUGAUCUUGGAAGUUGGGAAACAUUCCUUAUAGCAAAUUGAAAAAUACCUGGCAAUUUUACUAUGCUCGGGAAAUAUAUACCGGGCUAUUUACUGUGGCAUGAUUUGCAGUAGUCAUAAAUUGGAAACAACUUAAAUGCCCAUCAGGAACAAAUGGGAAAUACUUAAUGAUGGAAUGCUGUAUAUCUGUAAAAUGUAGUAAAUGAGAUCAAUAUGUAUUACAGAGAAAGAUCUCAAAAGUCAUGUUGAGGGGGAAAGAUAAAGUUGCAGAGUGACAUAUAAUACAAUGACAUUUUUGUAAAUUUGAAUUAAAACUUCCCUCACAAAUUCAUUGCUAUAUAUUGGUAAUGGAUACAUAUAUGUGUGUAUGUUUUUAAAAUGUUUCUGAAGUGGAUUGGAAGGAUACAGACCAAACUCUUGAUAGUGGUUGCCUAUGAAGAGAGGAGAAGGGGAAAGGGGGUGUGUGCGGGGGAGGGGGAGGGAGGUUUGGUUAGCUGAGACUUCAGUUUUUUAUAUAAACAUCCAUUUCUCUUUAAAGGAAAAAAAACUUCAAGUAAAUAUAUUGAAGUACUGGUUAAUUCUGGAUUGUGGUAUAUGGAUAUCUUGUCUUAUUUUUUGUACUUUUCUGUAUUUUAAAUUCUUCUCAAAAUUAAUAAAAAUGGGGGUGAGGAUGGGAACACUGUACCUAUAGAAAUGUUCUAAUGGAUUCAUUCCCAAUCAACUACUAAACUUUUUAUAGAAAAUAUUUCUAAAAUUUUAUCAAUGAGUGAAUGGACUUGCUCUCUAUGUAGUAUGAAAUUAUCUAUUUUAUUAAAAUUUAAAAUGACAGCAUUA